CAGCGAUUCAAUCCAGUCUCAUAAAUCUAGGGAUUCACUGGAAGAUGCGAGUACUGACAUCAGACUCCAUAGUGAGGUCCAGAAGUCCCAUGUUCGUAUGGUCAAGACUUCAGCACUUUGCUGUACCCAUCCCUGCUAUCCAUCCCGCCACCAUUAACCCAUGAGGACAGAAGACAGUGAUUCAACCCUGAUCACAUUAUGAAAUGGAGGUUUCGGGGAUAGAGGCACGAGUGUAAGGGAUGCUGCAGGUGAGAGCCACCUUGUGUGCCCAAUCUGCAACCCUGGAGGAGCUGCAGACUCACUUGAGCCUGGAAGGCAACGUGGAUGGGAACUCUGGAGUGCAGAGGUGCCAGGAUGGGCCCUGAGGAGGGACAGUGGAGCACUUGGGAACUGCAGGGGACACUGUGGGUGAGACUAGGAGGGGCUGGGAGUAGUUUUCAUAUUUAAUCAGGUAGUUGAUCCAAAGUCAUACUACUACUUGCAAAAUCCAAGAAAUACUGAAAAAACUGAAUUCCAUCAUAGAAACAAGAGUAAAAGAAAUCUAGGAGGGGAAAAUAUGUUUCUAUACAACUAAGAAAUCGAGCUGGACUUGGAGCGUAAGAGUAUUGGGUUUAAUCAAACAUUUUUAAGUAUACAUGGAAAUGAUCAUAUUAUUUUUUAUUUUUGAUCCAUUGAUUGAUUAUGAAAUUAAUCCAUUGGUUAUGAAAUUUGUAAUAAUAUUAAACCAUUUUUACCUAUCUGGAAUUAAACCCAUGUUUGUUAUGACAGAUAACUCGUUUAAUAAUCUGUCAAAUUCAAUUUGCUAGUAUUUUAUUUGAGAUGUUUAUACCUCUUGUCUCAGAGUGGAAGCCCCAAUGUGAAGGUGAACUAUAUCAAAUAUUUGGCUCUGGUUUCUUCUUCUGGGGCAUGUAUAAUUCUCAAGUUUUCUACACAUUCUUAAGUCUCAAGACCUUACAUCCAUCACCAUUUUUAUCUUUUAAACAUUUCCCUCUAGGUUCAGGAAGAGUUUCUCAAGUUUUUCCUCCACAUUUCUGGUGCAAUUUUCUGCAAGAUCUGCUCUUUCACCUCACCAUCUUCAAUUGGAUUUUAAUCCACCUACUGCAUUUGGAAUUUCCCAGCAUUCUUUUCUUAUUUCAGCCAACAACUUUUGCACGCUGCCUUCAUCUCAGCCCAUUUUGACUUCACAGCUUCUUGUUCCUGUUUCAUAGAAGCAGACAGCAGGAAAGUUUGUUCCACAAUUCUCUUCUUUAUCUAAUAGAAUAACACGAAUCGUCAGGUAAAGUCUCCCAUAAUUUGCAUUCCUUUCCCAUAAUUUGCGGGACCUUCCUAUAGGCCCCUCGUUAAUCUUUUCUUUUCAUUCAUUCAUCCUUAAGAGAUUGCUACCUAAGCCUGGAGUUUCCAGCAGCCCCCAUCACUGCAUAUUCUGGUGCUGAACUGCCCUUCUAAGACCAGCCACUUAGGUCAACUCGUGGGCCUUUGUCGGGUAAUGCUGCUGGGCUCAAGGUAGAUUUUCCUUGCUCUAACUAUCAGGUUCUCUGAAUCAGAUGCAGGCUUACUUCCUCUUAUCUACAAACGACAGAUUAUACACCUUAUCCAGAAUGGUGUCCAGGGCUCUCGUGGACUCUACUCUGCUUCUGAUGCUUCCCUUUAGGCAUCUAAGUGAGCCAAGACGCAACGCGCCUCCUCCAGUUCCCCGGCACUUUGUGGGAAAUGUGGCUUUCAAAUGGAUGCAGGUAAAGAUGAUCUGAAGGCAGUGGUGUGAGGGGCCGGGGAUGAUGGGGGCAUCCUGGGACAAGAUAGGACUCCAGCAGCUCGGCUAGCUCUGAAGAGAGUGAAGGAGAGACAGCUUGAUUUUCUAAUCCUUGUCCCUGUGACUUGUAGAUAGGGACAUCCGUAGGAAACUGUGUAGGUUAUUUCAUAUUCCAUCUUUGGAUUGGGGCUGUUUUAAUUGGAGAAUAUGUGCUCUAACAUUAUUUCUCAAUCUUUUCCUAUUGAUGAGGUCAUCAAUAACAAUUAUCCCCAGAACUUAACACAUAACCUCUCUUAUAUUUUGUUAAAGGAUUGUUAUCUGCUUGCUUGUUUGCAUUUUCGUGAGUUUUACACUGCCAUUUGCGGGGGCGGGGGCAACAAUACCAGACACCACACACCAAGUUAAAUCCAAAAUCCUUACUUCUGAAUUCUAAAUUUCACUGAAUUUUAUUCUUCGUUUUCUUCCUAACUAAAUAGCCAUUAUACAUAGUUAAAAUUGUACUGGGCUGUAGCAUAGUGAUCAUUUUUAGGCUAUGCAAGUAUAUAAGAUAGUGUCCCUAAACUAAAGAGCCCCAAUCGGUUGCGCUUUAAAAAAAUCCUUUUGUUUUCUGGAUCGCUCCUCCCCAGGCUUUGGGUGAGGCCAUCACUUCUGGCUUCCCUUGAGGACCACCCUAUCCUUCCUGAGCAGAGCCUCUAAGGUGCCAUGGCGGAAAGGACUAUGCUUAUUUCUGAAAAAGGAGUCGUAGAAUCUCAAGUUGGAAGAAAACUUUUAUAAGGUCUAAUCCAGUCCUGCUCUUCUGGAGGCCUCUCUCCCCCUCUGCCCACCUCUCCCCACCCCUGCAUACUCACCAAGUGGUCAUUGGUCCUCUGUGUGAGCACCUCUGGAGGUCAGGAGCUCACUGCCCCUCAGGGCAGUCCAUUCCAUCUCUGGGCAGCUCUGAUUGUUAUCAAGUCAUUUCUUACAUAGAGCUGAAACCUGUUUCUCCUUUGCUUCACUGCCAUCGACCCUGAUUCUCAGAGGUGUGGACUCAGAGCCUGAGUCUGUCCAUUCUUCCGCACAAGCCCUGUCAGACCACUGAACACAGAUUUCGCACUCCUCCCCCAUCCCAAAUUCUCUCUUCUCUGAGAUCAACAUGUUCAGUUCCUUCACCCACUCCUGUGGUUCCUCGUAACUACUUAGUUGUGUCAUGUGACUCAUAGGAGUUCUCGGUUCAUUGAAUGGGAAGCAGGAACACCAAGGUCUCCUCAGCACCAAAAGGUGAAAGUGCCAGGGAGAGAAUGCCAUCAACUAUCACUGGGGGGUCAUCACAGGGCAAGACAGGACUUUCCAAAGAAGAUGGGCGGGAAGUGUGCGUCUGAGCUAGAGCUGCUCUGAUCAAUGAGAUGAGAUGGCCACUCACCUGGGAAACUAGAGGAGAGGCUAGUAAAGAAGUGCACUCCAGAAGUGUAAACAGGGUGAAGGGAAACCACAGAGAUGGUGCCAUCCCGGGAGCUGGUAACAGUGGGACACGGUCACCCUCCCUAGGUCUGAAGGGGUGAGGGAGGGAGUGGGUUACAGUAGAACACAGUGCAGAGUCUAUUACUGGUAAAACUUUUCUAUUACCUUUGUCAAAAAAAUAGGAACAUUGAUAAAAAUUCUAUAGCUUAUAUUUUUAAACUUUCAUUUUGAAUAUUAAUUGGCAUCUGUUAAACUGCUAAGAACUCAUUGGCUUUAAUGAAGCAUCAAAAACGAAUGAACUAAGUAACCAGGAGGGCUGAAGUGGGAGUGUGGAGAGAAGCGCAUUCUGCCACUAUUUCAGAGGGGCCUGGGAGCAAGUGGAAACCGCCCUCCCCCUGCUCCCAGAGGUGGCGAUUGUAUGUCCCUGUUUGGCUCAGGUCUGGAGCACACCGUGGCUGGGAGGCAGCUGGCACCAGCCCAGGCAUGAAUGCGUGCUACCCCUCUGGGCCCCACUUCUAGCAGGUCACCCGGGUCUGUGUUGUCACCUUGAAACGUUUGAGAGAGCUGUGAGCUUCAGAAGGUGAGACGUGUGGGGCUGGGGCUGGGGGCAGGGAAGGCCAGCCCUGGAGGGUGGCUGGAGAGCUUUUGACAGCCCAGACCAGAGCCCGGGGUCCUAUUCCUGACGACGUGAGCCCCCAGGCAGGCGCCGAGUGGAUAAGAGUGUAGACAGUGAGGCCGGCUGUGAUGCUUGCCAGCACCUGCAGAUAGCAGGCAAAUAAUUG
Equus caballus (horse) is the source of this 3969-nucleotide long non-coding RNA. NCBI's taxonomy places the organism in Eukaryota, Metazoa, Chordata, Mammalia, Perissodactyla, Equidae. The record is from Ensembl.